UGGUGCCUUCGGGAACUGUGAGACAGGUGCUGCAUGGCUGUCGUCAGCUCGUGUUGUGAAAUGUUGGGUUAAGUCCCGCAACGAGCGCAACCCUUAUCCUUUGUUGCCAGCGGUCCGGCCGGGAACUCAAAGGAGACUGCCAGUGAUAAACUGGAGGAAGGUGGGGAUGACGUCAAGUCAUCAUGGCCCUUACGACCAGGGCUACACACGUGCUACAAUGGCGCAUACAAAGAGAAGCGACCUCGCGAGAGCAAGCGGACCUCAUAAAGUGCGUCGUAGUCCGGAUUGGAGUCUGCAACUCGACUCCAUGAAGUCGGAAUCGCUAGUAAUCGUGGAUCAGAAUGCCACGGUGAAUACGUUCCCGGGCCUUGUACACACCGCCCGUCACACCAUGGGAGUGGGUUGCAAAAGAAGUAGGUAGCUUAACCUUCGGGAGGGCGCUUACCACUUUGUGAUUCAUGACUGGGGUGAAGUCGUAACAAGGUAACCGUAGGGGAACCUGCGGUUGGA
Molecule: ribosomal RNA, 510 nt
Filed under: Escherichia coli
Lineage: Bacteria; Pseudomonadati; Pseudomonadota; Gammaproteobacteria; Enterobacterales; Enterobacteriaceae
Description: bacterial SSU rRNA
Rfam family: Bacterial small subunit ribosomal RNA
Source: RNAcentral